AAAAGGGGUGUUAGUCAUUUAAAAUGAUAAGAAAUAGAACUCUGGGCAGCGAAAGCAUCGAGGUAAGUAGGUAAGUACACGGUUUAUAAUAUUAGUUUGUUGUUUUUUUAAUUACAAGUAGAUGCUCUUGUUGCCUGUCCUUGGUUUUGUCUCUCGCCAGCCUUUUCUUUUUCUUUUUUUUUAAUGACAGAUAAUUUUGUGUUAGAAAAAGAUAACAUGAAUUUAAAUUUGAUUUAACCCGGAAAUUUAGAAAUCUUUUCAACUUGAAACAGUCCGCUCAGUCAACUUACUACUUUAAUAUCAUUCUCCAUUAUUUAGAAAAGAAAUCCUAAUUGAUCUCUUUAACCCAGGAUUUGUUGGUUAUUGCAUGCAUCGUAUUAAACAAUUUCUCUCUGGAUAUUCAUCUUCGAUCAGAUUAAUUGAAUCCAGAAGCUCCAUGAAAAUAAUAAAUUUAUAUGAAAAAAGGGAUUGUAAUUCAUUCCUUUUGGUUUAUUUCAGUCGGUUAUCUCCAUUGAUAUUUUAGUUUCGAAAAUUAAUAACUAAGUUGGUUGAAUGAACCGAUAUUAAAUUUUGUAUAUUUAAAAAUAUUAUAAUAAAUAUUUUAAUUUAUAAUUUUUGUCAAUUUGUAAAGGAAUAUGCCACCUAAACAAAGGAAAAUUCCUAUGAGCCCAAGGAGGAAAAAACAUAGUGCAAUAAAUCUUUGAUCAGUUAUUGUUGAGAUGUGAGAUGAUUAGCAAUUCGGCAUUAAUAUAUCAUUUUUCUGAAUGUUCUUUUCCGACAGAUGCUUCCAUCUCCGAUGACUUCCCAAAUCCAAGUUCCGACAAGUCCUGCUUUGCCAUCAAGUUCCUGUGAAAAAGAACAAACAUUUUUCCAUUUUAACUCGUACUUAUGAAUGCACAUAUUAUAUACAAACAUACAAAACACACACAUAUAUUGCGACUUAGUUUACAGUAUGAAAAUUUUAAUGCCUAGAGUGUGGAUUAGCACGGGAUUUCAG
This 997-nucleotide long non-coding RNA is filed under the name Gossypium barbadense (sea-island cotton). RNAcentral describes it as "long non-coding RNA (GBAR_LNC003756)". Lineage: Eukaryota; Viridiplantae; Streptophyta; Magnoliopsida; Malvales; Malvaceae. The record is from RNAcentral.